GAUGAAGAACGUAGCGAAAUGCGAUAAGUAAUGUGAAUUGCAGAAUUCAGUGAAUCAUCGAAUCUUUGAACGCACCUUGCACUCCUUGGUAUUCCGAGGAGUACGCCUGUUCGAGUGUUAUGAAGCUCUCAAAACGCAAUUGGCUUAAAACCUGAUUGUUGUUUUGGAUUUGAACUUUGCCGUGUUAUAACGGCUGGUUUUAAAAGUAUUAGCUGGUACUAGAACGAAUUGGUUCUACUCAACGUGAUAAUUAUCUGAUCGUUGAGGACAUUCCUUUCACGAGGAAUGGCCAUAGUAAAUUCAAUGGACUGCUUCUAAUCUGGCUUUAAUUCUUUAUUGGAUUAACCACUUUUCAAAUCUGACCUCGAAUCAGGUGGGACUACCCGCUGAACUUAAGCAUAUCAAAAGCGGAGGA
RNAcentral lists this unclassified non-coding RNA (415 nucleotides) under soil metagenome. Its description in RNAcentral is "partial contains 5.8S ribosomal RNA, internal transcribed spacer 2, and large subunit ribosomal RNA". The stretch from base 1 to 120 matches the Rfam family "5.8S ribosomal RNA", at positions 35 to 154 of the family's 154-position model. The record is from RNAcentral.